Molecule: long non-coding RNA, 872 nt
Organism: Peromyscus eremicus (cactus mouse)
Lineage: Eukaryota; Metazoa; Chordata; Mammalia; Rodentia; Cricetidae
Exons: 3
Source: RefSeq, a predicted model, not a curated record
GAGAUGGGAGCUACAUCAGCCCCUUUGUCAUCUUCAUAACUCAUACACUUUGCCCCCUGCAUAGAACGCAGGGACAGCCAAUGUGUAUUUCCCCCCACCCAAGAACAGAUUUCCAGUGUACUUCUAUUCUGUAAAACACCUCUCUUAGUGAGGCCAGGUAUUCCCAGAAUGCCAUGGGAAGAUGCCUUGUUGAAAUGGCUCCCUAACUCUGCUCAGCCAGCAUGGCCUGCGCAGUUUACCUACAAUAUUUCUGAGGCUGUGCUAAUUCGUGUGGUCCUCUGGGCACCAGGGCCACUUUGAAUUAUUACCUGAAGGUUUUGGCCUGCAGGUGCAGGCUCCUUUGGCUGAGAUCUACUGCACGUCUGCUCACUGGCAUGUUCCUGGCAAGCAGAAGCACACCUCUCCUGUGAGAAAUACCCACCUGAGAGUGUAGCCCUGUACGAUGGUGGUGAAGAUGAUUGGGAAAGGGAAGCUGUAACAGAGCACAAGAUGGAACUCAGUGGGAUCCAGAACACUCGACAAAGCUGGCCUCAAAUAGGAAAACUGUGGGCUGAGUGGAAGUCAAAGCUCGUCUUGACCCCUCCGUUCUACGGUCAUUCAGGCAGCAAGUCAUAUGAAACAACCAGCUCAAACUGGCUUGAGUCAUAGGAAAUUGUAGCAUUUAACACCACAAAUGAAAACCUAAGUUAACUGAUAACAAAUAGGUUUAUCUUUUAUACAUAUAAUAGGUCUAGAAAUGAACAGGAGUGGAUCGCUUGAUAUUCUCACACUGAAGAGGGCAACAUGAAGCCCUUUCAUGUUGCACAUGGGUCUUCCUGCUAUCGUGGUUAAAGAUACUUGUGACAAAGCUCUGGGAUUUUCUAGCCAUGGUA